Molecule: non-coding RNA, 347 nt
Organism: Macaca mulatta (Rhesus monkey)
Lineage: Eukaryota; Metazoa; Chordata; Mammalia; Primates; Cercopithecidae
Source: RefSeq, a predicted model, not a curated record
UCAUAAUAAUUUCUUGUGAUCUGUUGUAUCUUUUCCCUUAGAUCUCAGCAUUCUCUCCAACGUUGAACCAUUCUUCGUGAGUUCAUUGGUACAGAUAUUCUAGAUUUGGAUCAGUUUUUUUCCUUCUUGUACCUUCCUCUCCCGAAUCAUCUACAAAAUCCAAGAUUGAUACAGUUUUGAUAAAAUAAAAAAAACAACUAGUUUCAAAGGCCAAGAACUUGAUGGAGAGAACAAGCAGAAUGACAUACGAACAAUUGUCUUUUAUCUGGAGGAUUCUGUAAAUGAAAAGAGAAUAAAUACAUUUCCUUCCUAGAGAAAUCAAGCUGGAAAUAAACAGAAUGAGCUUA